Long non-coding RNA from Thamnophis elegans (Western terrestrial garter snake), 6206 nucleotides. RefSeq lists it as uncharacterized. The record is from RefSeq and is a predicted model, not a curated record. The transcript is spliced from 3 exons. NCBI's taxonomy places the organism in Eukaryota, Metazoa, Chordata, Lepidosauria, Squamata, Natricidae.
ACAAGCAGAGCAUCACAUUCCCUAGCCAUUUCCAUGUUUCUUACUGAUUUCUCAUAAGAAAAGAAUAGAAAUCAAAAGCUACAUUCAAUUAAUGUAUACAUUAUUUUGUUCCCUUGGAUACAAACCAAAACACUUCUGGGGAUCUGGGCUCAUACAUUAUCCUGUUUUUGAGCUGUAGGCUUUUGCAACUUAGUGAUUGAUCUCAGGGGUGGGAUUUAAAAUUUUUAGCUACUGGUUCUCUGCCCCGUUACUGGGUGGACAUGGCCUACUCAGCCUCCUGCACCAUGGCUCCAGAGGAUUUUCUCAAGCCUCUGGGAGGGUGAAAAGUGCCUCCCCUGAGCUCUGGAAACAGGUCCAUUUCCGGACCUCUGAGAGACCCGUUUUUCACCCUCCCAGAGCCUCUGCACAAGCCCUGCAUUUAGCUGGCAUCCAAAACGGGCCGAGUAGAGACUCGUGGGAGGGGUGGAGCGGGGUGGGUAAGGCGGGGCCAGCAAGUCCUUUCAACUACCAGUUCCGCAAACCAGAUGCAAAAUUAGCAUCCAGUUCGCCCAAACCAAUCCGAACUGGCUAAAUCCCACCCCUGAUUGAUAUUCUAGGUUUCUGUAUCCAAAUUGCCCAUAUGGUAUUUCUGGCCAGCGUUGUCAGAAUUAUUCAUUUGAAUCCCUUUUAAUACAGCCUUAAAACUCUUGGUAUUUUGCUCAGGCUUCUAAUAUGGACUGCACAUGCCCAUGAAUGGAGUCAUCCUUUUUCUUUCAUAGGAGCACUGUGAACCAGAGAAGCGAACUGUGGAAUUGAUUCCACUUGCCAAAUGUGCAUUGACUACCGGAUACAACUAUUUAUGCCCCUUACAACUGAGUAAAUCAGUCUAACACAUGCGGAGAGCACCAGGAUCUGCACUGAAGAAACUAUUUUCUUACUCUUCCAGUAUAAGCUACAAGAUUUGUCAUGAAGGAGGACCACACAUCAAACACUCCUCGGGACCCUAAAUGCUACAUUUUGGCACCCUGAACAGGGACCCAUACUUCGUCCAGGGAAGGACAGAUGCGUCGUCAGCCUAAGGGCUUCUCAACCUAUCAAGGUUUCUGUAAGUAUGGGAUCUUCGCUUUCUCAGGAACAAAGGAAGCAUGUUAAUGAGUUGGGUUAUCUUCUUAAGAAGUCUGAGUUAUCUGUUUCACAAAAGGCUCUUUUUCGGCUGGUCCGUGAAAUUGCUUUAAAUUGUCCUUUCUAUCCUGUACAAGGCUCUCUGAAGUUGUCAGACUGGGAAAAAGUUGGCAAGGUUUUGCAUUCUGAGCCGAGGAAAGAUAUAGAUAUUUUGCAUGCUUGGCAUUUGUGUCGUUAUGCUAUAGAAAUGUUUGGUCAGAAAGAAUAUUCUGUUUCUUUCUUAUCAUCCCCUCCCUCUCAACAUUCUUCUACUACUGUGAUUUUUCCUCCGUUGUCUGAAAAAGAAAUUUCGUCUUUUGAUCUUAAAUCUAAGUCUGAAAUAACACCUUCUUCUGCUUCUUCUGACAUUGUGUUAAAGCCUCCCCCUCCUCCUAUUCCCCCUCCUCUUUCUCUUCCUCCUAUUCCCCAUCCUUCUGCUAAUAUUCUUCCAAAGUCUGCUUUUCAGAAAAUGGUAGAAAGUUGUAAAUAGGAUGUUAAUAUUUCUGGAGAAGAGUUAGCGGAAUUGUUGUGUGUGUGUCCGAUUUAGUAUCAACCAGGCCUACAACCAGGUCAGCAGAUUGCUGAAUGGGAAGGUUUGCCAUUUCAGAUUUUAAGGGAGUUAAAGAAGGCUAUUUCUGAUUAUGGUAUUACUGGAAAUUUUACUAGAGGUCUUUUGGAAGGAAUUGAGAGUGGUUGUUCUGUGAUGCCUCAAAAUUGGAGAUGGAUGUUUCGUGUGAUUUUUACUUCUGUGCAGUGUGUUGUUUGGGAAAGUGAAUUUUUGUGUUAUUCUCAUGCAGCUGCUUGGAAUUGUUUCAAAUGUGGAAAAUCAGGUCAUUGUCAGAAAGAUUGUCGUUCAACACCAUUUAGUGGUGGUUGACUACCAUUGUACAGAAUUUCCUAAGUGCAAAAGUGAAGUUAUUAAACAGGAUGUGUUUGUUUUAAAUUUCCUUUAGAAGUGAAACUGGUUUCUUCUCAAUAUACUGGUCCUCUUCCUUCUGGUUUGGUUGGCAUAAUCCUACCACGUUCUUCUGCUCAUAAAUUGGGAUGAUUUGUAGUUCCUGGAGUUAUUGAUUCUGAUUACACUGGAGUGAUUCUUAUGCAAAUUUGGGUUAACAUUCCACAUUUUCUUCCUAAAGGAUCUUCUGUAGCACAACUUCUUUUGCUUCCCUAUAAGGUAUCUAACCCAGGUACUGGAAAUCGUGGUGAUUCUGGAUUUGGUUCAACUCUUACUUCUAUAGGACUCCUGCAGUCUUUUACUUCUCAUAGGCCACUUCUUAAACGUGAUGUUAAUUCCUUGUGGGGCAUUGGUGGGUCUACAACUGCUUGGCAAAGCAUUCAUUCCAUAGCCAUCACAACUUCUGCUGGUAAGUCUGUAUCUUUACAUCCUUACAUUUUAGGUAUUCAUACUAAUAUUUGGGGUAGGGAUGUAUUCAACCAAUGGGGCCUUUACAAUGUGGUCUUCCUAAUCCUAAUUUAAUCCCACAGUUUUAUAAACUAUUAGUUGUGGAUUUGAAGGAUUGUUUUUUCACUAUUCCUUUACAGUCACAGGAUAAAGAAAAAUUUGCUUUUACUGUGCCUGUUUUAAAUAAUAGUCAACCUACACAACAAUUUCAUUGGUGUGUCUUACCACAAGGUAUGCUCAAUUCUCCUACUAUUUGUCAAUAUUUUGUGGAUCAAGUUUUACAACUUUUUCGUGAUCAAUUUCCUUCUUAUCUAGUUUACCAUUACAUGGAUGAUAUUUUAAUUGCAGGUUCAGAUCUUGAUGAAGAACAAGUGCUACAAACAUUGACUACCAUUGUAGCAGAGGGUUUUUCAUAGCUCCUGAAAAAAUACAACGUUCUGAACAAUAUUCAUAUUUAGGUUUUAAAGUUUUACAAUCUUUUUCCAUUCCUAUCUUACCUGAACUUAAGGUGCAAUCUUUGUAUACUUUGGUUCAGUGGCAAAAACUUUUAGGUACAAUCAAUUGGGCUCGUCCAUAUUUUAAAAUUUCUACAGGAGAAAUGUUACCUCUUUUCUCUCUAUUAAAAGGUUCCAAAAAUCCUGGAGAUUUAGUUUCGCUUACUGUUUUGCAAAAGAAAUGUCUCCAGGUUGUUCCAAAUAAACUUAAAUUGGGAUACGUUGAUAGAAUUGUUUCUAUAGCUAAGAAAUUAUGGUUAGCAAUUCUUCCUACUUCACCUUUACCUACUGGUUGUCUUUAUUCUAUUUUGGAUGAAAAAGUGAUUCAUAUUCAUGAAUGGUUGAAUUUGUCCUAGAAAUAUUUUUCCUUAUCAACAGGCUUUAGAAGAAUUGAUUAUGAAAGCAUGACGAAGAUCUUUGCAAUUAAUAAGUCAUGAUCUGGAUGGAAUAGCUUUCACUCGUACUAAACUUGAACAUGAACAUUUGAUGACUGUUUCUGAUUCAUAUCAAAUUGCCUUUUCACACUACCUUGGUGAUAUUCAAUAUUCUUUACCUAAAAAUCCUAGAAUAGUUAUUACAAAUACAUUGAAUCUUUCAUUUUCUUCUAUUUUUACUCGUUCUCCUCUUCCUGAAGCAUUAACAAUUUUCACAGAUGGAUCACGCACUCAUGGAGUUGUGGUUUGGACGGAUGGUCAACAAUGGUUUUCUAAAUUCACUUCCGUUCAGACAUCUGCCCAACGUUCUGAGUUGGCAGCUGUUAUUUUGGCUCUGAGAUUAUUUUCUGAUCAGCCUAUUAACUUGAUUGUUGAUACCAAAUAUGUUUUUCUUGCAAUGCAAUCUCUUCCUUAUGCUUAUUGUGCUGUUUCUCUUGACAUUAAUCUUUUGUCUUUAUUUUUAUAUUUAAAACAUGUUUUGGAAGAAUGUGUCUUUCCUUUAUAUGUUGAGCACAUUAGGAGCCAUUCUCCUUUUCAAAAUCCUUUGACAGAAGAAAAUAAACAAGCUGAAGUCAUGACUCUUUUUUCAGAUCCUGUUGCUAGUCAUUCAUAUUUUCAUCAAAAUGCUAAAUCUUUGGCUAAACACUUUUCUGUUCCUUUUCCUAUGGGAACAAAAGCUAAUCAAAUUUGGCAAAUGGAUGUCACACAAUUUGCUACCUUUAAACCAUACACUUAUUUACAUGCAUCCAUUGAUACAUAUUCUCAUUUUUUGUGGGUCACUGCUGCUAGACAUGAGCGCAUUUUUGAUGCAAUGUCUCAUUGUCUUUCUGCUUUUUCUGUAAUGGGCUGACCAAUUCAAUUAAAAACUGAUAAUGGUUCUGCGUAUACUAGCAAGGACUUUAAUUCUUUUUGUCAACAAUGGAACAUUCAAUUGAUACAUGGAAUUCCUUACAAUUCUCAAGGGCAAGCUAUAAUUGAGUGAGCUCAUCGUACAUUCAAAGCUACAUUAACUAAAUUAGUAAAAACUGAAUCAGGUCCCUUCAAUUUGAGAAAAAUUCAAAAUUUGAUCUCUACUGCUCUUUACGCAUGGAAUUACUUAACUUUUCUAGAUUCCUUUUCAGAUAUUCCAGUCAAGUUUUAUUUUCAGACGUCCCCAGGUUAUAAGUUGAUCGUGGUUAUAAAUUGGACAUGGUUACGCUGCAGUUGAAGAUUUGCAAACAAAGCAAGCUGUGUGGAUUCCAGGCCGGUGUGUUCAUCCUUAUCAUGGAAAAACAAAUGAAAGAUCCAAGGAUGCAACGUCCUCCAAUCUUGCCUUGGAAUCACAUUGAAGAUCAACAUCAAUUGAAAAAAUCCUUUUUUCUCAUGUGUUGUUUUCUCUUUUUCUUUCCGGUUUCUACUAACUCGGAAAGAACUCUUGCUUUUCCUCUUAGUCCUAAUCUUUGGAUUCGUCACGCUCAAUGUAUGUUUUUGAUUCAUGGUUGUAAUAUAACUUUAUAUUAUGAACCUCCUAUGGCUCUUGGUCAAGUUGCUUUUAUUCCUAAUCUAAUUAAUUCUUCUACUUUCAUUGUUUCGCAACUUCAACAUAUUUCUUCUUCUUGGUUAUUUUCUACUCCUCCUCAUGAAUUAAAUUUAGUUAGAUGGAAGUAUAUUCGCAUUAACCAAUUUACUAGAGGCUUAUGUUUUUGUUGUUAUGCUCAUCAUAAUUGGCUUAAUCAAUGGUCUGAUUACCCAAAAGCUAAAUGUAUUUUAGAUAAAGUAGAGAAUUAUAGUUACUCAGAAAUAUUGGUUAUGGGGUACUAUUAAAACAUCACAAGUUCACAACACCAUACCUGGUAUGUAUCCUGAAAAUUUUCCUAUUUUUCAAACUGUCUCUUCUAAUACUGGAACAGGUGGAUCAAUCUGUGCUGGAUGGCAAUUGAAAGAUCCUGCAAUGUGGUUUUUCUUUGACAAAUAUGCAACUAAUGUACAUCCUCAGAACUAUCAAAGUGCUGCCAUUGGAUAUUUGUCUUUACCUGUACAAGUGGGUGUUUCUGGAAGUUUAUCAACUCGAAAAAGACGUGCAGCCUUGGGAUCAAAAUGUUCUGAUGAAGUUAUUAUUGAUAUUCAAUUUUCUUCAUUGUCUACUUUUGGACGUGCAUUAGUUGCAGCCAUAACUGGAACUAUUUCUUUGGGAUCAUACCCAGGAAUAUUAGCUCAAGAAAAUAGAUAUUCUAUUUUAGGUCUCACAUGCCGAUUGGAGAAAUCUAUUAAUGCUACUGCUGCAAUUAUUAGAGAUUUGCAAAAUGAAAUUGAAGAACUUAAUCAAGAUUUAAUUCAACAACGCUUUGCUAUAGACCAUUUGCUAGCUUGUCAAAGUGGAUUUUGCAGCUUAGUUGGUCAAUGUGCUUGUGCUGUGCAUUUUCAUUCACUUAAUAAAACUAUUGAAGAUGAAUUAGCUAAUUUACAAGCUUCUAUAAAAAAUAAUGUACAUGAUGAAUUUUCUCCUUAUGCUUGGUUAACUAAAUGGUUACCUGAUAUUUCUUGGUUAAAACAAUUGUUUUUCUUUGGUGUGAACAUAAUCGCAUUACUUAUACUUUGCUGUUGCUGUAUGCAAUGUGUUCCUUCAUUUUUUGCCAUGUUUCGCAAGUCUCCUGAACCUACUUUGAAUGUGAUUCAAAUGCAUGCUCUUGAAAAAUCUCUUUUUUCGUCAUUAAAGGAGUACACUAAAACUAACAAUUAAAAAUGUUCUACAAAACA